CGGCAGACCGUCCGACUGCGCUACACGCAAAUUAGUCUUGUCCGAUCAAUGAUGGUUCAAUCACCAUCGUAUGCAUUUUGUAAUGGCGUCACCAAACACAUAAAUAGUAAUGAAUUCUAACCAUACGCGAGAUGACAGUUGUGUGAGUGUGUUAAACGGAGUACAAAAAUAAUGCGAUGCACUGGGCAGGAAAAACGCGACGCGCACUAUAACUGCUAUGGCGCGGAGACAAUAAUAAUACGUAAGUAUAAUAUUCAACGAUUCCUGGCACUAAACCGACACAACGGCCGCGGGUGGAGACGAACGCAAAUGAAUCUGUCUAUCAAUCCACGAAUAAUCACGAUCCUUACACACAUACUAUGAAGCGCACGGAGAGAGAAAGUGAAAGCAGUUUACCUUGGUAACAUACGGCGACCUCCUAGCAAAAAAAAAAAAAAUAUAAUAAUACAUUAAUACAUAUAGUGGUUUCUGACUACGGUUAAAUACCACUAUAUGUAUAUAAUAUCAAACGAUAGGAUGUCCACUUUCGUAUGGACGUAGCGGUAUAAUCGUGCAGCAGAAUGAUGUACGCGUGACCUAACUUAUAGCUUGUCAAAUUAAAUUCAACCGUUCGAAUUACUAACAUCAGAGCACCGGAAAUAAGUUUAAAUACUUUUGUGGGGGUACGGGAUUCUUGAAACAUUUUAUGGCUAAGCUUUUAUACAUUACUGUCUCGAGAUGUUUUCACGAAAAAAAAACUACCAGACAUUAUUGCCAAUUUUUCACGGUGGAAACAGAAACGCGAAAUAGGACAAAUAUACUAAAAUAAUGAGUAAA
Aphis gossypii (cotton aphid) is the source of this 816-nucleotide long non-coding RNA. RefSeq lists it as uncharacterized. The record is from RefSeq and is a predicted model, not a curated record. NCBI's taxonomy places the organism in Eukaryota, Metazoa, Arthropoda, Insecta, Hemiptera, Aphididae. The transcript is spliced from 4 exons.